RNAcentral lists this ribosomal RNA (501 nucleotides) under uncultured bacterium. RNAcentral's name for it is "partial 16S ribosomal RNA". It matches the Rfam family "Bacterial small subunit ribosomal RNA", at positions 30 to 523 of the family's 1533-position model. The record is from RNAcentral.
AUUGAACGCUGGCGGCAGGCUUAACACAUGCAAGUCGAGCGGAGAUGAGGUGCUUGCACCUUAUCUUAGCGGCGGACGGGUGAGUAAUGCUUAGGAAUCUGCCUAUUAGUGGGGGACAACAUUCCGAAAGGAAUGCUAAUACCGCAUACGUCCUACGGGAGAAAGCAGGGGAUCUUCGGACCUUGCGCUAAUAGAUGAGCCUAAGUCGGAUUAGCUAGUUGGUGGGGUAAAGGCCUACCAAGGCGACGAUCUGUAGCGGGUCUGAGAGGAUGAUCAGCCACACUGGGGCUGAGACACGGCGCAGAGUCCUACGGGAGGCAGCAGUGGGGAAUAUUGGACAAUGGGGGGAACCCUGAUCCAGCCAUGCCGCGGGUGUGAAGAAGGCCUUAUGGUUGUAAAGCACUUUAAGCGAGGCGGAGGCUACUGAGACUAAUACUCUUGGAUAGUGGACGUUACUCGCAGAAUAAGCACCGGCUAACUCUGUGCCAGCCGCCGCGGUAA